This 440-nucleotide ribosomal RNA is filed under the name uncultured bacterium. RNAcentral's name for it is "partial 16S ribosomal RNA". It matches the Rfam family "Bacterial small subunit ribosomal RNA", at positions 338 to 795 of the family's 1533-position model. The record is from RNAcentral.
CCUACGGGAGGCUGCAGUGGGGGAUAUUGCACAAUGGGGGAAACCCUGAUGCAGCGACGCCGCGUGAAGGAAGAAGUAUUUCGGUAUGUAAACUUCUAUCAGCAGGGAAGAAAAUGACGGUACCUGACUAAGAAGCACCGGCUAACUACGUGCCAGCAGCCGCGGUAAUACGUAGGGGGCAAGCGUUAUCCGGAUGUACUGGGUGUACAGGGGUAGUAGGCGGCGAUGCAAGUCAGAAGUGAAAGCCCGGGGCGCAACUCCGGGACUGCUUUUGAAACUGUGUUGCUAGAUUGCAGGAGAGGUAAGUGGAAUUCCUAGUGUAGCGGUGAAAUGCGUAGAUAUUAGGAGGAACACCAGUGGCGAAGGCGGCUUACUGGACUGUAAAUGACGCUGAGGCUCGAAAGCGUGGGGAGCAAACAGGAUUAGAUACCCCAGUAGUC